This 75-nucleotide transfer RNA is filed under the name Hypoptopoma incognitum. Its description in RNAcentral is "tRNA-Leu". It matches the Rfam family "tRNA". From Rfam's summary of the family: Transfer RNA (tRNA) molecules are approximately 80 nucleotides in length. Their secondary structure includes four short double-helical elements and three loops (D, anti-codon, and T loops). Lineage: Eukaryota; Metazoa; Chordata; Actinopteri; Siluriformes; Loricariidae. The record is from RNAcentral.
ACUAAGGUGGCAGAGCCCGGAAAUUGCAAAAGGCCUAAGCCCUUUCCACCGGAGGUUCAAGUCCUCCCCUUAGUU